AGCUUAGAUAUGUAAAAUGUAUCUAUCCAGAUAAGUUCACUACAUUUAUCCAUUAUCAUUCUUUUAUAUUCUACAGUCAUAGAGUAUUUGUAGCUGUGAGAUGCAAGGAUAUUGGCCAGACCUUUCUAGAAAAAAUUAAAUUGGGAAACAGAGAGAAGAAGAGAAACCUGUUCUCAUUCUUAAGUCUUCAUAUAAGAAACAAUUGAUGGAAAGGGAAGGAAUGCCAUAGAGGGUUGCCUGGAUUGCAACGUGGAAUUGCCAUUCACAGUCCCAGGGACCAGACUUGAGAUGACUCUCAAAUCCCACUGGCCUGAGUAAUAGUCCUUAAAAUUUCAAAAUAUUGUCCUUAUUAUUUUUGAUAGUACAGUGAAGUAAAAGAAAACACACCUAAGAAUUUGUAGUCUUCCAUGACAACUGAAGACAUUAUGUCCUGGGAAAAGCAUUAGGUAAGGAACAUUAAAUCUGCAACACUUGAAAAACUAGAAGUCA
RNAcentral lists this long non-coding RNA (489 nucleotides) under Gallus gallus (chicken). RNAcentral describes it as "lncRNA (ENSGALG00010001041.1)". The record is from RNAcentral. Lineage: Eukaryota; Metazoa; Chordata; Aves; Galliformes; Phasianidae.